GGGCCGUUAGCUCAACCAGGCAGAGCACCUGACUCUUAAUCAGUAGGUUGUUGGUUCGAUUCCAACACGGCCCACCA
RNAcentral lists this transfer RNA (77 nucleotides) under Pseudomonadota bacterium. RNAcentral's name for it is "tRNA-Lys". It matches the Rfam family "tRNA". From Rfam's summary of the family: Transfer RNA (tRNA) molecules are approximately 80 nucleotides in length. Lineage: Bacteria; Pseudomonadati; Pseudomonadota. The record is from RNAcentral. RNAcentral also lists the same sequence under 6 other names.